AGAGUUUGAUCAUGGCUCAGGACGAACGCUGGCGGCGUGCUUAACACAUGCAAGUCGAGCGGAAAGGCCCUUCGGGGUACCCGAGCGGCGAACGGGUGAGUAACACGUGAGUAACCUGCCCCAGACUUUGGGAUAACCCUCGGAAACGGGGGCUAAUACCGGAUACGACCUUGGUCCGCAUGGAUUCUUGGUGGAAAGUUUUUCGGUUUGGGAUGGGCUCGCGGCCUAUCAGCUUGUUGGUGGGGUGAUGGCCUACCAAGGCGACGACGGGUAGCCGGCCUGAGAGGGCGACCGGCCACACUGGGACUGAGACACGGCCCAGACUCCUACGGGAGGCAGCAGUGGGGAAUAUUGCACAAUGGGCGGAAGCCUGAUGCAGCGACGCCGCGUGAGGGAUGACGGCCUUCGGGUUGUAAACCUCUUUCAGCAGGGACGAAGCGCAAGUGACGGUACCUGCAGAAGAAGCGCCGGCCAACUACGUGCCAGCGGCCGCGGUAAGACGUAGGGCGCGAGCGUUGUCCGGAUUUAUUGGGCGUAAAGAGCUCGUAGGCGGCUUGUCGCGUCGACCGUGAAAACUUGGGGCUCAACCCCAAGCCUGCGGUCGAUACGGGCAGGCUCGAGUUCGGUAGGGGAGACUGGAAUUCCUGGUGUAGCGGUGAAAUGCGCAGAUAUCAGGAGGAACACCGAUGGCGAAGGCAGGUCUCUGGGCCGAUACUGACGCUGAGGAGCGAAAGCGUGGGGAGCGAACAGGAUUAGAUACCCNNGUAGUCC
This 771-nucleotide ribosomal RNA is filed under the name uncultured bacterium. Its description in RNAcentral is "bacterial SSU rRNA". It matches the Rfam family "Bacterial small subunit ribosomal RNA", at positions 8 to 796 of the family's 1533-position model. The record is from RNAcentral.